AUUAUCUGAGAUGGUAUCAGUUGUUUUUAUUGAUACCAUCGCAACCAACUGCUCGUGCGAUUUUUUUUUCUUUCCUCAUCGCUGGUCUGCAUUUCUCGUUUUCGUCCGCGUCGGAUUCACGCUUGCGGUUUAGGGGAUUCUGCCCGACCGAAUUAGGCGAUUAAUGCUUGCGAUUUGUAUUUUCGAUUUGCGAUCUGACGGAAAAACGUGAAUUCGCGAUUCAGAUCUUCCGCUUCCGGAUUUAUCUAGUUGGAUCUUCUUGCGGAUUAUUUCUUACAAUUUGGGAUUUGAGGUUUUAUUUUCAGAUUCAUGAUCGCAUAAGAUUUUACAAUUUGGGAUUUUUUUUUGGAUUUUUUAUUCUUUCUAUUUAGGAUUCCAGACAGCAAUUUUAUUUUGAAAUUGCAAUUAUGCAACAUCCUCAUG
RNAcentral lists this long non-coding RNA (423 nucleotides) under Zostera marina. RNAcentral's name for it is "long non-coding RNA (ZMAR_LNC004417)". The record is from RNAcentral. Lineage: Eukaryota; Viridiplantae; Streptophyta; Magnoliopsida; Alismatales; Zosteraceae.